CAAAUCUAUAGCCCCAGCGCCCUGAGAUGGACAAGCUCCUCACCCAAAGAGCAGUGGCAUCAAAGGUUGGCAGGGAGACCCUGGAAAGCUCUCCACCCAGGUCGGUGACACCAGAGGGAGACUGAGAUCCUCUUGGUCUCCCAGGGCCUGCCUCCUGGCAAUGGGGCGCGACACGGGGCAUUUCCUGAAAACCCAGCACCCAUGCCGCGGGAACCCUCAAGAUACAUGGGGACCGGAGUUGGGGGGGGGGGCUGACCCCAGAGCCUGGAAGGGGGCGUGAGGCGGAGCCAGGGCAGUGGGGACAGUCAGGAUGCUGUGAGUGUGAGGGGCGUGCGUGCAGAGCGGGCGCCCAGGAGGCGGGUAAAUGGCCGGGCUGAUGCUGCAAUUCUUUUGCUACUGAGGAAGCCGAGUCCAGGAGAGCUGAAAUCACUGGCCGUGUGGAGCCCACGAGCCCGGGGCCCAAGUCCUGAGCCCUCCCUCUCCAAGGAGGCCCUUGACUUCCCUUUGCUCCCAGGCCCUCCCUCUGGUGACUGGUGCCCCUCUAGGGAAGAUCAGAGGCGCCGGGAGGAGAAGGCCUGUGAACUGGGCGCAGGGACUGGAGCUGGGAAGCCCCGAGCCGAGGAACGCCACGGGCUACCAGCUGCCACCAGAAGCUGGCAGAGAGUCAGGGACGACGUUCUCCCUCAAGACUCCAGAGGGAACUGACGCUGCUGACAGUGUGCUUUCAGACUCCUGGCCUCCAGACUGAGAGAAUAAAGUUCUGUUGUUUUAAGCUCA
This 777-nucleotide long non-coding RNA is filed under the name Sus scrofa (pig). RNAcentral's name for it is "lncRNA (ENSSSCG00070008038.1)". Lineage: Eukaryota; Metazoa; Chordata; Mammalia; Artiodactyla; Suidae. The record is from RNAcentral.